Molecule: ribosomal RNA, 800 nt
Filed under: uncultured crenarchaeote
Lineage: Archaea; Thermoproteati; Thermoproteota
Description: bacterial SSU rRNA
Rfam family: Archaeal small subunit ribosomal RNA
Source: RNAcentral
UUCCGGUUGAUCCUGCCGGACCUGACUGCUAUCGGGGUGAGGCUAAGCCAUGCGAGCCUACGUCUCCGAGAUGCAGGAGGCGUGGCGUACGGCUCAGUAACACGUGGUCAACCUACCCCGUGGACGGGGACAACGUCGGGAAACUGACGUUAACCCCCGAUAGGGAAUGGGCUCUGGAAUGACCCAUUUCCGAAAAGUUGAGGGAGAAUUCUUCCUCAAUGCCACGGGAUGGGACCGCGUCCGAUCAGGUUGAUGGUGGGGUAACGGCCCACCAUGCCUGAGACCGGUACGGGCCCUGAGAGGGGGAGCCCGGAGAUGGAUCCUGAGACAAGGAUCCAGGCCCUACGGGGCGCAGCAGGCGCGAAACCUCCGCUAUACGCGAAAGCGUGACGGGGUCACCCCGAGUGCCGACCGCUGAGGUUGGCUUUUCCCUGGUCCAAAAGGCCAGGGGUAAUAAGGGGAGGGCAAGCUUGGUGUCAGCCGCCGCGGUAAUACCAACUCCCCGAGUGGUCAGGAUGUUUACUGGGCUUAAAGCGCCCGUAGCCGGCCUAGCAAGUUCCCUGUUAAAUCCGAUGUUCCAAGCAUUGGGCUGCAGGGAAUACUGCUAGGCUUGGGAGCGGGAGAGGUCGGCGGUACCUCCCGGGGAGGGGUAAAAUCCUUAGAUCCGGGGGGGACCACCAGUGGCGAAGGCGGCCGACCAGAACGCGUCCGACGGUGAGGGGCGAAAGCUGGGGGAGCGAUCCGGAUUAGAUACCCGGGUAGUCCCAGCUGUAAACGAUGCAGGCUAGGUGUGGGGGUAG